Molecule: non-coding RNA, 107 nt
Organism: Sphaerobolus stellatus SS14
Lineage: Eukaryota; Fungi; Basidiomycota; Agaricomycetes; Geastrales; Sphaerobolaceae
Source: the annotation of a GenBank genome assembly
GGCCGCCUGGUGUAAUGGCAACGUGUUUGACUUCGAUCAUCUUCCGUCCAAUAUUAUUGCUGGCACCAAUAUCAAAAGAUUACAGGUUCGGAUCCUUGUGGUGGUCG